GGGGAUUUAGCUCAGCGGUAGAGCGCUUGCCUAGCAAGCACAAGGCCCUGGGUUCGGUCCUCAGCUCCA
RNAcentral lists this transfer RNA (69 nucleotides) under Rattus norvegicus (Norway rat). It matches the Rfam family "tRNA". Rfam says of the family: Transfer RNA (tRNA) molecules are approximately 80 nucleotides in length. Their secondary structure includes four short double-helical elements and three loops (D, anti-codon, and T loops). The record is from Rfam by way of RNAcentral. RNAcentral also lists the same sequence under 1 other name. Lineage: Eukaryota; Metazoa; Chordata; Mammalia; Rodentia; Muridae.